Molecule: ribosomal RNA, 483 nt
Filed under: uncultured Aquiflexum sp.
Lineage: Bacteria; Pseudomonadati; Bacteroidota; Cytophagia; Cytophagales; Cyclobacteriaceae
Description: bacterial SSU rRNA
Rfam family: Bacterial small subunit ribosomal RNA
Source: RNAcentral
AGAGUUUGAUCAUGGCUCAGGAUGAACGCUAGCGGCAGGCCUAAUACAUGCAAGCUGAACGGCAAGAUUUGUAGCAAUACGAGUCCUAGAGUAGCGUAAGGGUGCGUAACACGUAUGCAAUCUGCCCGCAACAGGAGGAUAGCUUGAUGAAAGUUGAGAUAAGACUCCAUAAGAUCACAGGAGGGCAUCUGAUAGUGAUUAAACUACCAGGGGUUGCGGAUGAGCAUGCGCAUGAUUAGUUAGUUGGCGGGGUAACGGCCCACCAAGACAAUGAUCAUUAGGGGAACUGAGAGGUUGGUCCCCCACACUGGCACUGAGAUACGGGCCAGACUCCUACGGGAGGCAGCAGUAGGGAAUAUUGGACAAUGGGUGCAAGCCUGAUCCAGCCAUGCCGCGUGCAGGAAGAAAGCCUUCUGGGUUGUAAACUGCUUUUUUCUGGGGAUAAAAUACCCGUGCGCGGGGAAUGAAAGUACCAGAGAAUAG